This is a long non-coding RNA of Thunnus maccoyii (southern bluefin tuna), 344 nucleotides long. RefSeq lists it as uncharacterized. NCBI's taxonomy places the organism in Eukaryota, Metazoa, Chordata, Actinopteri, Scombriformes, Scombridae. The record is from RefSeq and is a predicted model, not a curated record. The transcript is spliced from 3 exons.
CGGCCCUCCUUAAGCCCAAGACGACAAUCCGGUGCCCUUUGUUCAUGUUCCACCUGUAUCCAGGAAUAACAAGAGGUAGCGGAAGCGGCGAAAACAGCAUUCAAGAAAAUUGUCCAAGCAUAGGAGGGGCGGACCGGCGAGAGGCGGGAAGGGAUGCUAUUCGCUUUGGGGCACUUACGUAACAUCUCACUUGCCUCUCUCUCUGUGGAAUGCCAGGAUAGUGUUUGUAAACAGAGCGGCCAUGUGCAAGUGCUCACGUGGAGGAAGCUUUUGAGUUGCUGCCCUCGCUGUCUCACCCCUGAGCAAAACAACCCCCAAUAGCAGACAAGAGGAAAAUCAAUAUU